Molecule: ribosomal RNA, 253 nt
Filed under: uncultured bacterium
Lineage: Bacteria
Description: partial 16S ribosomal RNA
Rfam family: Bacterial small subunit ribosomal RNA
Source: RNAcentral
UACGUAGGGCGCGAGCGUUGUCCGGAAUUAUUGGGCGUAAAGAGCUCGUAGGCGGCUUGUUGCGUCUGCUGUGAAAUCCCGGGGCUUAACCCCGGGCGUGCAGUGGAUACGGGCAGGCUGGAGGCAGGCAGGGGAGAAUGGAAUUCCCGGUGUAGCGGUGAAAUGCGCAGAUAUCGGGAGGAACACCGGUGGCGAAGGCGGUUCUCUGGGCCUGUCCUGACGCUGAGGAGCGAAAGCGUGGGGAGCGAACAGG